GAUAGGCUAGAGCGUUUCAGGAAAACCCAGUGCGCGUGAAUAUGAGAGCAUCACAAAUAGUUCUGAGAGUUGCGCAUGUUGAAGUUUCUCUUCUGAAAUGGUAUUUGUCAUGAGUGCCUUUUAACUUCUUAUGUACCCUUUCCUGCCGCUCAAACCAACUGUUCCUUAUUGACUUCAAGUUCUUUGAUCUGCCCUACAAAGUGCUUUUUUCCCGAGUUUACAGAAAGUAAACGGAUUGUUUCAAGUGGUGCUAUUGUUUACAUAAUUUUGACGAUUCAAGAUAGCGGACCGAUCUGCUGAGGGGCGUAUUUCAUUGGGAAGCUGAACGAUCUCGGUCGGAUUGGAAUGAGACAAAUGACAGACGAAAAUGAAUUGAAUGAACUGAUUAUUGACUAUUUCGAUGCAAGACCUAUUGAUUCUGGAGACGGUAGUUGGGAGGAGGAGACACAUGAUGAACCAAUGACGACGACGGCAGUGGCCGUGACACACCCACACCCACACCCCCCGGCGAUUGUGUAGAUUUCCGCGUUAAAUUCCGAUACUAGUUUUAAUCGGCCUAUAAGCUCUAGAACUUACCAUUAAACAGAGUCAAUCCAAAAAUGAAAUCCAAUACAGAAUAUUGCCAAAAAUGUUUUCCUUAAAUGUUGCUUCCACAUAUAUAUUCUUGUAAAUAUGAAUAAAAGAGUUUGUCAGAUGUCCCGUAUAGUAUCGGAAUUUAACGCGGAAAUCUACACAAUCGCCCACCCCCCUGCCCCCUUCUCAUGAUAUCGAACUUCAUGAAGAAGUCCUGGUUCCUGUUCAACCAGUUGACGUAACAUCAUCAGAAGGUUAUAGGUGCAAUUGCUGGCCCAGGACCUUCGCAGUGAAGCAGAUCCAGAGUCCCUGACAGCUGCUCUACAACAAGGUGAUGCUGACCAGUCCAGUAUUGCUGAAGACGAGGAUGCUGCCUUAGGGGUGACCUUCACGGAGAACGUGACGUGACAGCCUUUGUGGUGCCAGAAGGUAAGGGUGUGGAGCUGCCAGCUUUGAAGGGCCUGAAGUGCUGCUACAAGCUCAAUGAUGGCCAGCCUUGCCACAGCCAGUUGGAAUCAGCUGCUGUUGACGACCUACGUUUGUCUUUUGCUGGUAUGACAAGGGAGGAGCAUGACAUUGUAGUGUUGUCUCAGAUUUGCUGUGGCAGGCAUGUGGGAGGCACUAUUAAACAUUCUAGAAAAAUCAAAGACCGACAAGCGACAAGGACUACUUGUUAUUUGUCUGGAAUGUGAUUUGUAGGGAAUUUUUAAAAAUAUGUUCACAAUAUGGGCCAAGAUAAGUUGAAUGCCCUUAUUGCCCACUUUAAGGCUGCUGGAAUUGAGGCCAAGCAACAUGAAUCAUAAAGAGGGCCCCAAAACAUGCUCUGUCUUUUGAAGAUACAAAAGCUGUGGUAGACUUCAUUGUCAACUUUGCUGAGCUCCAUGCUAUUGUGAUUCCAGGACGUCAGCCUGGCCACUGGAACACCAGUGUCAAACUGCUUCCUACAAAUGUAAGGAAGAAGAAGGUGUAUGAUGCUUACUGUGCCUCUGCUGCUGUCAGUGACAGACGCAUUGUAAGCUGGCAGACCUUCAAUCGUUUAUAUGGAAGCAGUUGACACCGUUUGUCUCAACCAUGCGCCCUGCAACUGAUCUUUGUUGGUUUUGUAAGAAGAAUUCAGGUCACCUCUUGCGUACAGCCAAUCUGCCUGAUGCGGAAAAAAGCCAAGCAGUUUUGGAAAUGCAAGAUCAUUUAGAAAAGGCUUCUAUAGAACGCUCCUAUUAUCAGCAGGUUUGUGAAGCCGUUAAAAAUAGUUUGCCAGCUGGUACCACUCUUGGUCAAGAAGAUAGGAGGAGCUGUUCUUUUGAUGGGAUGUCCCAUUAUAGCUUUGAUUUUGCACAACGAGUGCACUACCCGAGCAACCCAUUGCAGCCGGGUCCGAUAUUUUUCCAAACUCCAAGGAAGUGUGGCUUGUUUGGAGUAGCCUGUGAGGCAAUACCUUGUCAGGUAAAUUUUCUUUAAGAAGAAUGUGUUUUAGCAGGUAAAGGUGCCAACUGUGUUGUGUCUCUUCUUCAUUAUUUUUUUGGACAAUUUUGGCUUAGGAGAGAACCAUGUCCAUCUGCAUGCUGAUAACUGCAGUGGACAAAAUAAAAAUAACUGCAUGAUGCAGUAUCUUGUGUGGAGAGUCCUCACAGGAAGACACAUGAAUAUUAAACUGUCAUUUCUUUGGACAGGACACACAAAGUUCAGUUGUGACUGGUGUUUUGGUCUUGUCAAACGCAGGUUUCGAGUGACCAAAGUUGACUGCCUGGAAGACAUUGCUAAUGUUGUCAAUGAGUCUGCCACAUGCAAUGUCGCACAGUUAUGUGAAACUGAGACAGGGGAUGUUUUAGUGCCGGUAUAUGACUGAACCAAAUUUCUCGGAAUGUUUUUUAGAAAAAUGAUUGGAAUUAAAAAAUAUCAACAUUUUCAGUUCCAGCAUGACAGCACAUCGGUAAAAUGUAAACAAUUUGUUGAUUCUGAUCCAAUUGAUUUUGUUUAUUGUCCAAAGCUCUUGAUUUAAUUUAAUGCCAGAAAUUGUUGUUCCUGCUGGACUUGAUCCAUCAAGGCAGUGGUAUUUGUAUGAUGAAAUCAGACCUUUUGUUAGUGAAGAGAUGAAAGACAGAGUGACCCCUCUUCCAAAAUGCCGAAAGCCUACCCAAGUGAGCAUGCUUGAACAUGACAGUGAUGAGGAAGAGGGUCCAUCAGAGCCGAAAGCCAGGAAGGGGGGAAAGGGGAAAGGGGUAUCGACCAUGGGCACGGGGAAGACAAUGUAGGGUAUUUUUGUUGAAGUUUUAAAGAUUCAUUGCGUACUCUAUUUAAAUUUCAACAUGAUUUUAUUUCUAUUCUUCUGACUAUAACUGGUCAUUGGACUUGCUGUGGUGAAUUGAUAACUUUCCUAAUUUUGUUGUAUUGUAUGUUGGUUGUGAAGAUGUGUUUUGGCAGCUUUGAUCAGAAGUUUCCUGUUUCUGUCGGUUGUCAUUUCCUUUGUUUUAGUGUAGGUGUUUUUGCACACCCGUGGACACAGGUAGGAUAGUUUAGGAGGUGUGUUUAGGAGGUGUGUUUAGGAGGUGUGUUUAGGAGGUGUGUUUAGGAGGUGUGUUUCAACCUUGUCUGUCUGGGACAAAGUGGUUACUGGUUGUUUUGAUAUAUGUAAAUAUGCUAUUCUAUACUGUUUUGGUUUUUUUCGAUGAAAGCAGGUCUAUAUAAUUAAUAUAUUUCGUGUGUAUGCAUGGAAAUGUAAAAAUGUCAACGGAUUUCUGUUGGAAAAAUCUUGUGGACAAGAAGUACAAAUAAAUUAUGUGUUUUAUGUUCUAAAAUCA
Molecule: long non-coding RNA, 3371 nt
Organism: Aplysia californica (California sea hare)
Lineage: Eukaryota; Metazoa; Mollusca; Gastropoda; Aplysiida; Aplysiidae
Exons: 3
Source: RefSeq, a predicted model, not a curated record